RNAcentral lists this ribosomal RNA (465 nucleotides) under Vreelandella stevensii. RNAcentral describes it as "partial 16S ribosomal RNA". It matches the Rfam family "Bacterial small subunit ribosomal RNA", at positions 338 to 795 of the family's 1533-position model. Lineage: Bacteria; Pseudomonadati; Pseudomonadota; Gammaproteobacteria; Oceanospirillales; Halomonadaceae. The record is from RNAcentral.
CCUACGGGAGGCUGCAGUGGGGAAUAUUGGACAAUGGGCGAAAGCCUGAUCCAGCCAUGCCGCGUGUGUGAAGAAGGCCUUCGGGUUGUAAAGCACUUUCAGUGGGGAAGAAAGCCUUGUGGCUAAUACCCUCGAGGAAGGACAUUACCCACAGAAGAAGCACCGGCUAACUCCGUGCCAGCAGCCGCGGUAAUACGGAGGGUGCGAGCGUUAAUCGGAAUUACUGGGCGUAAAGCGCGCGUAGGCGGUCUGAUAAGCCGGUUGUGAAAGCCCCGGGCUCAACCUGGGAACGGCAUCCGGAACUGUCAGGCUAGAGUGCAGGAGAGGAAGGUAGAAUUCCAGGUGUAGCGGUGAAAUGCGUAGAGAUCGGGAGGAAUACCAGUGGCGAAGGCGGCCUUCUGGACUGACACUGACGCUGAGGUGCGAAAGCGUGGGUAGCAAACAGGAUUAGAUACCCUUGUAGUC